GAAUGCUGACAUAAGUAACGAUAAAGCGGGUGAAAAGCCCGCUCGCCGGAAGACCAAGGGUUCCUGUCCAACGUUAAUCGGGGCAGGGUGAGUCGACCCCUAAGGCGAGGCCGAAAGGCGUAGUCGAUGGGAAACAGGUUAAUAUUCCUGUACUUGGUGUUACUGCGAAGGGGGGACGGAGAAGGCUAUGUUGGCCGGGCGACGGUUGUCCCGGUUUAAGCGUGUAGGCUGGUUUUCCAGGCAAAUCCGGAAAAUCAAGGCUGAGGCGUGAUGACGAGGCACUACGGUGCUGAAGCAACAAAUGCCCUGCUUCCAGGAAAAGCCUCUAAGCAUCAGGUAACAUCAAAUCGUACCCCAAACCGACACAGGUGGUCAGGUAGAGAAUACCAAGGCGCUUGAGAGAACUCGGGUGAAGGAACUAGGCAAAAUGGUGCCGUAACUUCGGGAGAAGGCACGCUGAUAUGUAGGUGAAGCGACUUGCUCGUGGAGCUGAAAUCAGUCGAAGAUACCAGCUGGCUGCAACUGUUUAUUAAAAACACAGCACUGUGCAAACACGAAAGUGGACGUAUACGGUGUGACGCCUGCCCGGUGCCGGAAGGUUAAUUGAUGGGGUUAGCGGUAACGCGAAGCUCUUGAUCGAAGCCCCGGUAAACGGCGGCCGUAACUAUAACGGUCCUAAGGUAGCGAAAUUCCUUGUCGGGUAAGUUCCGACCUGCACGAAUGGCGUAAUGAUGGCCAGGCUGUCUCCACCCGAGACUCAGUGAAAUUGAACUCGCUGUGAAGAUGCAGUGUACCCGCGGCAAGACGGAAAGACCCCGUGAACCUUUACUAUAGCUUGACACUGAACAUUGAGCCUUGAUGUGUAGGAUAGGUGGGAGGCUUUGAAGUGUGGACGCCAGUCUGCAUGGAGCCGACCUUGAAAUACCACCCUUUAAUGUUUGAUGUUCUAACGUUGGCCCCUGAUCGGGGUUGCGGACAGUGUCUGGUGGGUAGUUUGACUGGGGCGGUCUCCUCCUAAAGAGUAACGGAGGAGCACGAAGGUUGGCUAAUCCUGGUCGGACAUCAGGAGGUUAGUGCAAUGGCAUAAGCCAGCUUGACUGCGAGCGUGACGGCGCGAGCAGGUGCGAAAGCAGGUCAUAGUGAUCCGGUGGUUCUGAAUGGAAGGGCCAUCGCUCAACGGAUAAAAGGUACUCCGGGGAUAACAGGCUGAUACCGCCCAAGAGUUCAUAUCGACGGCGGUGUUUGGCACCUCGAUGUCGGCUCAUCACAUCCUGGGGCUGAAGUAGGUCCCAAGGGUAUGGCUGUUCGCCAUUUAAAGUGGUACGCGAGCUGGGUUUAGAACGUCGUGAGACAGUUCGGUCCCUAUCUGCCGUGGGCGCUGGAGAACUGAGGGGGGCUGCUCCUAGUACGAGAGGACCGGAGUGGACGCAUCACUGGUGUUCGGGUUGUCAUGCCAAUGGCACUGCCCGGUAGCUAAAUGCGGAAGAGAUAAGUGCUGAAAGCAUCUAAGCACGAAACUUGCCCCGAGAUGAGUUCUCCCUGACUCCUUGAGAGUCCUGAAGGAACGUUGAAGACGACGACGUUGAUAGGCCGGGUGUGUAAGCGCAGCGAUGCGUUGAGCUAACCGGUACUAAUGAACCGUGAGGCUUAACCUUA
RNAcentral lists this ribosomal RNA (1656 nucleotides) under Escherichia coli. Its description in RNAcentral is "partial 23S ribosomal RNA". It matches the Rfam family "Bacterial large subunit ribosomal RNA", at positions 1292 to 2925 of the family's 2925-position model. The record is from RNAcentral. Lineage: Bacteria; Pseudomonadati; Pseudomonadota; Gammaproteobacteria; Enterobacterales; Enterobacteriaceae.